CCCGAGUGUAGACGCCAUAUUGGUACGCCUGAGGAAGACACGGGACGGAGCUGCCGUUGUCUUUCUUUUCAUCACAAUGUUUUUCCACGACUCGCGUUCACCAGUUCCAUCAGUUACCCUGUAGAGGGGGAUGUUGAGCUUGGUGAGGAGGAGUGUGACGGCCGCUCUCAGGGACCGGAUGAACUCCGGCAGACUGCUGAUCUCCGGACUCUCGUCUUCGCUGCUCAACAGGUCCGCGGCCGGCUCGGAGGCUGCGGUGUAGUUGUGACUCUGCAGCCACUCCCACUCCUCCCUGACACACAGAGGCACAGUCCAGCCACUCCGCUGCACAUCAGAAACUCUGCUGGGGUCUCUGUUGUUGCUCCUCGAGUGGAGUCUUCGUUUCAAUCAGGUAAGCUCUCUCUCUCCGACCACCCUGGAGGAGCAGCAUGAUGGAUGAGACACAAGAAGACAAGCUACCUUUGAAGGAGGCGAACAAACUUGGUGGCGGACUGGAAGAGCUGUUUGAUGCCCCGGGACAUGGAUAGACGCUUGCUGGGACUUUGAGGUCCCGGCGGAGGCACCUAUGCAGUACGCUCGGUAGUGAGGCUCCUUGGCGUCCUCCAGCAGCUUCUUGACCAGACCCUGAGGAUUUCUGAACUGUGACUUCACACCCACACACUGCCUCCAACCUGCAGGGAACAGAGUCGCACUUGUGUAAUUGAACAUCUUGUUAUACACAAACCUGGUGGGCGGCUUGGUGGGAGUCAGACGUGAUUUCUUUCAGCGAUCAGAGUGUCAGCAUCAAUAUUCUAAAUCUGUAUCUCAGUCCAACUACAGAACCACGGGAUUCACUGUUAUCGAUCGAUAGAUCUCUGUUCUGAUCAGACAAAGGGUAAGAAUCCAGUCAUCAUACUCACUGGAAGGGGCGAUGCUGCCGGGGGUGGAGUCCUGCGGCGGCCCCCAUCCCUUCACGUUGUAGGCGCGGACUCUCACCGAGUACUGCACUCCCUGCAGGCAGAGAAGGUUCAGUCUGCUCAGCUGUCUCCUCACGAGUCAGUAGUUAGUGUCGAUGUUUGUGCCUUACUGUGGUGAGUCCCCUGAUGCUGUAGGAGGGGUUCUUGGUCUCGGUGACUUCAGCUGAGCCCAGGACAUUUUUGAAGCUUUCUGUGCUGCUCCACUCCACUAUGGACAAGAAGCACUCUCACUGAUGCGCACAAGCCGUCAGCAGCAGGGUCCAGACAAAAGGAUGUUCACAAUCUUGACAUUUUUUUAUCAGUCAGAGACCCCAUACAGGAAGAUAAAAAAAUUGACAUUGAUUUGUGGUGCGCUACGAUAUUCUCAACAUUGUGGCGACCUAGAAUCUUGUCCUUGAAGCCAGAAAUGCUGUGUGAUCACACGAACUACCGUAAACGUGGAACACAGGAUGGGAUGAUGGUAAAUAUUGAACAUUUGCCAUUGUUGUUGCAGAUUACUGGGGCAAAGUCACCCUUAACCCAGCUCACAAGAGAAAAGAUAAUGGGAUGCUUGCCAUCCUUGGUUGGGAUGGGAUGAAAUCAGGACAAAAACAGACCAACUGCAUGAAUGUGUGAUGUGUGAACCCACUUUCAAGCAUUUGAGGUGUGGUCUGAUGUCGCUCGAAGAAUUAGGGCACUGCAUUUGGAGACUGACCUUUGUAGCGAGUGAUCAGACCCAUGUUGCUGCCCUCGGGCUCUUUGAUGACCACGAACAGAGACGACGUACUGGUCACCAGCACCGACACAUGACUGGGUGGACCUGGCAGCUCUGCAGAGAAGAUCAGACUGAAUAAACAUCAAACUCAAAGAGUGAGAUUUGAAAUAGGCGUGUUUAUUUGACUCCUCUCUGAGGUACAGCUAAGCCAACAACACUGGUGGGUCACGAGCUUCCCUCUCACCAGCUUGGACUCAAGGAAGUUAUUUGUUAUGGGAGGGGCUUUUAGAAUAGAGACUCAAAAUUCUACAACUCCAAAAUUUCCCCCCCAAAAAAUCCAUGACAACAUCAUGACUUUGUGAACCUUUUAUUGAUUGAUAUUUCUUGUGAUGAUUGAUAUAUUAUGUAAACAAAAUCCCACUGAGAGGCUGAAGGUGCAGUGUGAGCAACUGGUUGGUAUUACCUGCCAGUGGGUCAGAACUUCAUGUGGGUGUUGACCUGAGGACCUGUACAUCUGUCGCACCUGUGUGAACACUGCCCCGCACUUCAGCAGGUGUGUCUUGCUGCAUGAGGUAACACUUGGCUAACACUUGACUGAUGCCAUUCAAAACAAACCUCUGUCUCCACCAAAAGGAUGGGUUUUUAAGGAGACAUCUGUGGACUGACAUGACAGGUGUUUCCUUUUCCAUGGAAGGAAUUAAAUCUCUAGAAUGGAUUGGUGGACUCUGACAGUCGGCUUGCUAUAUCUGAGAGAGAAAAGGCAUGUAUUUAUUCAUAUAUAGGAGAAUAUUGAUGACUCUAUUGCUCAUAUGUGACUGUGAUGUCAUUAGAGAAUUAGUGCUGUCGACCUAAAAAUAAUAAAGUGGUUGUCACCAUGCUGGAGCCACCAGAGACGUGCAGAGUUGUGCUUUCAUACAUUUUUUAAGCCCCAGGGAGAGGAGGCAGCACUUAACCCGGCAGCAGCUUCCUACUGGAACGUCAAUGCUUUGCUGCAGUCACAUCUUGAUAAUCUCCAUGAGCGCAUGUAAAUCAUGAUAUCGAUGUACGAUGAAUAAGACCAUCACAUCACCAUUAGUGCAAUAUUAGCCCCAGCGUGAAUCCCAUAAUAAAAGCAGGCGCUUAAGAAGCUUAAUGGUAUUCUGCGGCUUGAUUCUCGCUGGAGGGCAUUGCUGAUUUUCAAGCAAUAACCCAGGCGUACGGGCUAAUAGGAAAAGCCUCAGACAAAUAAUACUUUCAAGCGAACAUCUUCAGCAUUCACUUAACCUUUUCUGUCGGAAGACAUUAGUCACGAAUACUGGGUUUGGAAAACAAGUUGCAAAGGUGAAGCCAGGUAAUUUAAAUGUGAGUGCUGGCAAGAGAAGCUUUCUAAAGCCAUUCAAGGAAGCUUCAAGUCGAGUGAGGCUUCACGGUGCCAAAAAGCCAUCAGUCAGAUUCUUGACACUAACAGCUUGCAUGACCCGGCGCCAAACUUUUAAAUGUGAUCCCUGAAGCCACCGAGUGUGGGAGAAUUGAGGAAGCUUGAUCGAGCAAGUCUGGUGAAUAUUACAUGAACGGGCCGUCGAGGAGACUUGUAAGGAGGUGGAAUUAAAAGCUCCGGCAGGGGGACUGAUGAAACCAGGUCAUGAUGAAAACUUGAAAACAGACAGAUGCAUUUCGAGGAAUUCCAAUGUCCAAAAAAUCAAACUUUCAACAUCCUUGAGUCAGAGCGAGUUGACUUCUCACUCAGGGCCGGCUACAGUCAAAACACUGCUUUUUAACUUGGAUUCUUCAGAUUUUCUAAACUAAUAUGUCCCCUGAGUCAAAUGUUCUAAAUAGUUAAAUGUUUAAAUUAAGAGUGGAGACACGCCACUCGUUCCUCAUCUUUAUGAAAGAUUUAUUUGAGUUGUUUGGUUGUAACAUGGUUUAUUCAGUCCCCUCUGCUUCACUCUGAUACCAGCCAGGAUUGGAAAACCACCUCCAUUAACGUUUGUUUUGCCUCAAUGUUACUUGCUUGUACUAGAGCUAAACCACUGAGGCCU
Molecule: long non-coding RNA, 3668 nt
Organism: Synchiropus splendidus (mandarinfish)
Lineage: Eukaryota; Metazoa; Chordata; Actinopteri; Syngnathiformes; Callionymidae
Exons: 4
Source: RefSeq, a predicted model, not a curated record